RNAcentral lists this long non-coding RNA (1937 nucleotides) under Trifolium pratense (red clover). RNAcentral's name for it is "long non-coding RNA (TPRA_LNC003615)". Lineage: Eukaryota; Viridiplantae; Streptophyta; Magnoliopsida; Fabales; Fabaceae. The record is from RNAcentral.
UUCCUCGCUUCCAUGUACAUCUCAGAAAGACGCCUCGAGCCUUUGGAUUCAAAGAUUUUCUUAAUCUGAUAAUCAUGCUCAGGCAGCCAAGCAACAUAACUCUACAAUAUUACAUUUUGAAAAAAUUAGAGUAUAUUCAUUAAUAUUCACUAUAAAUGAACUUAGUUAAUGAGAAAUAUAAUCUUACACCAAAUUUUUGAUACCAUAAGUUCACUAUGUCUGGUGGAAUAUCUGACCAUUUGGCGUAUGCAUCUUGAUAUUUUUCUUGAAUUGCUUUGGUGAGGGCCCUGGAGGCCACCCUACAAGGUUCCCACCUACAAACAAUUUAUAAGCAAUAUGUAAAAUAUAUCAUCGAAGUAUACAAUGAAACAAUGACAAGUUAAAAUAAAUUAGUUCCAUACCCUCGGCCAUCUGGAUGAAUCAUUGGCCUCCCAUCACUCGCCUUCUCAUGGAUAGGACGAGAGUAUCGUGACCCCUGCGUCCUAUCGCCACUACCAACGGGUAUUGAAGGUGGUAGAUUUGCUGAAAGAGAAGUAUGUCGGGACGAAACAGAAGUCAACGGCUGUGAUGGAGAAUGUCGGGACGAAACAGAAGUCGACUUUUUGCCUUUCUUACAAACUCUUUAACACCAGAUAUAAAGGCGGGUUUCAACCCCCCUCUACGAGGGUUAAGUCUAUCAUAUACCCAACUACGAUCAGGUGGGUAGCCAUUCAUUUUCAAAAGANNNNNNACAAACACACAACUAUUUUUAUACUUUUACAGUAACAUACAUUAAGUUUGCUUAAUAAUUAAACUACUUUAGUGGCUCUGUGCUGAUCUACUAGAAAAUUUAGCAGCUUUUGUCAAAAUGGUUGUAAUAUAGAGGGAGACUAGACUGAGAAGAAGAGGAAAUAGAGGUAGAAAACUUGAUACAAGAGAGCAAGUGCUUCAUUGUAGAAGAAAUGAAGUUGUUGGAAACUUGGUGGGGGAAACACAGUAAUGGAUUAUAACUUUCUUCUAAGUAGAUUCUGAAUAAGCUGAAACUUGAUUGUACAAAUAAAUAGUAUGAACAACGAUCUCCAUGAUUAAGUUGAGUGUUAAUGCAAUUGUAGAAGCAAAAUUUGCAAAUGGUCAAAGGAUGGAUAAAUAUAUGCAAAUGAUGAGAAAAUGAUAGUUCUUUUUUUUAAUCGGAAAAUAUAAUGUUUUGGGAAAAAAAUGUACUGUAAUACUAAUAAUCUAUUGAUUUGUUUGCUUUUUACACCUCAACAUACUGAUAACGCUAACGUCUUAUUUCCAAGUUUGUGGCUGUUUUUUAAAGGCUCAAAGCAGCUUUAUAAAGACCAGUCUUUUUCUUGUCGACAAUGAAUGAUACAAUUGUACUACACAUUUGAAAAAAGAAUCUAAUCCCUCAAUUUUUACUCAGCAAAUCCUUAAUAACUUAGUUUUGAAUUACUCAACAAUAUUACUAAUUCAUGUGACUGUGUUGGUUAUUUUGGGACAUAGUGUUUUUGGGACAUAGUGAAAUUAAGUUACUAAAAAAAGGAUUUAAAGAGCUAAAAACAACCUAGACAGCAGCAAAAAGCUAGACCAUCAUCUUUCUCCAUCAAUUGAAACAUGGAUCAAAUCUUAUUGUAUGAAACCAAGACCAAAUCACAAAACAAUGCAGGAAAAUGCUAAAAAAAACCUAAACAACAGAUUAUAAAAUUCCAACAAAUUAACUAAGAGCAAAUCCCAUAAAAUUUCAUGUCUACCAACAACAACAAAGUUGAUUCUAACCUUCACAGAACAACAUUAUAUCAUUCAAGUAGAAGAAUAAGAAGAUUGAGAAGUAAGGAUUAAACUCACUGUUCGAAUUGAGAGGGAAGAAAACGGCGCUGCUGGGUCUUCGUAGUAGCUGAGACGGUCGCGCCGACUGAGUGGGUCGUCGGAGAUGAGAGCGAGACGGUGCUUGAGCUGCG